Rosa rugosa (rugosa rose) is the source of this 1271-nucleotide long non-coding RNA. RefSeq lists it as uncharacterized. The record is from RefSeq and is a predicted model, not a curated record. The transcript is spliced from 3 exons. NCBI's taxonomy places the organism in Eukaryota, Viridiplantae, Streptophyta, Magnoliopsida, Rosales, Rosaceae.
CCGAUAAUAAUAAGCUUGGAUUCCAAAGUUUGAACCUUUAAUCCGGUAAUUCUCUCACCUAAUUCUCAGUCUUUGUAAAGUCUGAGGCAUUCAAAUAGAAAAGGGAAGAAGGGAAAUCAGUUUCAUCUCGAAUUUCAUAGGGAUUUAGACCUUCUUGGCUUAUUUCUGAGGAUCGAUGACUUUUUAGGGGCAGUUGCUGCAAGUAGUCCUAACUUUAUUACUGGAAUCCUCUGGUAAGUGCUAUGUUUUGUAGAAUUCUGUAACUUCUUGGCUUAUUUCUGAGGAUCGAUGACUUUUUAGGGGCAGUUGCUGCAAGUAGCCCUAACUUUAUUACUGGAAUCCUCUGUUAAGUGCUAUGUUUUGUAGAAUUCUGUAACUGCUGCAAUUAAGUUACCUUCUCAGCUUGGUUCUUUUCUUUGUAUUAACAUUUGGUUGAUGCCUCAUCAUGUGCACUUUUGUAUACAGUUAACAUACAUGUCCCUUAGUAGUGUCAUUGAUGCCUUUUUGUUAAUCUUCCGCAAUAUUCUUAAUUUCAAAGCUUAAUUCUAUACAUGAACUUCAGUAGUUCAUUGUUGUUCCCUUCUAUUGCAUUCUUCUUUUGCUGAUAUUGAUAUGAGUUACAGAUUCAUACGUAGUGUUUAAUUUUCAAACGAAUCUAUGGGAUAUUUAUAGUCAGUGAAUGCUGUUCUGUUGGGUUUGUAUUACCUAAAUAGUGAAGUGAUGCAUAAUAAUGGAUUUGAUAUCAUUUAACUGUAUCCUUUAUUAUGUAUCAUUUCACUAUUUAGGUAAUCAAUUUCCAGUUUCCAAUUGGUUUCCUCCUCUUAGUAAAUUUUUGGAUUUUGAGUAUGAAUUUUCCUUGCUCUCGAUUUUUGUUUGCAGAUUUUGAAGAAAUUUUAUAAGCAGUGUGAUCCUGGUCAGUGGUCACUGUUUCAGUCUCCUUUUCUAAAUUUUAUUCCCUGCUGAAUUACUAUUUGUUGCUGCACCACUUUUUGUAUAGAUAGAACUGCAGCAAACAAUGCUUUUGGAGAGACUCAUGACCAACUUUUGAUAGGCUAACACCUUUUGUAUAUAUACACCUGGAACAACUAUUUUUUAGAAAAUGUUCCAGCAGCAAUUGUAACCAAGUUGACCUUAAACUAAGAUAGCCUAUUUUUUGAAAACUACUAUAAUGGAAAAUGUUGCCAGUAGAAACGUUAAUUCAUCUUUUGUUUUAGAUGAUCUGCAGUGAUGAUAUUGUACUAUUUUGUCAUAUUGUACAAUUUUGUCUGAGA